Long non-coding RNA from Eucalyptus grandis, 168 nucleotides. RefSeq lists it as uncharacterized. Lineage: Eukaryota; Viridiplantae; Streptophyta; Magnoliopsida; Myrtales; Myrtaceae. The transcript has 3 exons. The record is from RefSeq and is a predicted model, not a curated record.
GGAGAUUUCGUGGUUUCAGAUUCUUAUGCAAUUUUGCUGGCUGCAAGUAUAAUCAGCUCAGGCAUACAGCCUCUUCAGAUGCUGACUGUGCUGGCCAAGUUCCCUACUUUGAGGAGGAUCCAUGAAUCGUACAAGACUUUGCCUGAAUACGAAGCAUCAUCACCGAAC